RNAcentral lists this ribosomal RNA (395 nucleotides) under uncultured bacterium. RNAcentral's name for it is "bacterial SSU rRNA". It matches the Rfam family "Bacterial small subunit ribosomal RNA", at positions 80 to 507 of the family's 1533-position model. The record is from RNAcentral.
AAAAGGAAGAUUGCAGUGGCGGACGGGUGAGUAACGCGUAAGAACUUACCUUUUGGUGGGGGAUAACAGCGGGAAACUGCUGCUAAUACCCCAUAAUGCUGAGGAGACUAAAAGUAGAAAACUGCCAAGAGAGAGGCUUGCGUCUGAUUAGAUAGUUGGUGAGGUAAAGGCUCACCAAGUCGACGAUCGUUAACUGGUCUGAGAGGAUGAUCAGUCAGACUGGAACUGAGACACGGUCCAGACUCCUACGGGGAGGCAGCAGUAAGGAUCUUCCACAAUGGGGGCAACCCUGAUGGAGCAACACCGCGUGAAGGAUGAAGGCCCUCGGGUCGUAAACUUCUUUAUAAGUGAGGAAUAUGACGGUAACUUAUGAAUAAGGGUCGGCUAACUACGUG